Molecule: long non-coding RNA, 1274 nt
Filed under: Medicago truncatula (barrel medic)
Lineage: Eukaryota; Viridiplantae; Streptophyta; Magnoliopsida; Fabales; Fabaceae
Description: lncRNA gene5548
Source: RNAcentral
UUUGAAUAAUCGUUUUUAUCGAAGUUACAACGACUUCCAUAAUUUCAUAAAUCUCACCACCGAACCAACAUGCACUAAGUGGCACCGUCCACGGUGGCGCGUUGAGCAUGUUUGAUAAGCCACUCUAACAUAUCACCAAACACCAACUCCACAUUCUCUUCAGGUUCCCCAACUAACUGAUGCCACAUCCCAUCAUAUAUCUUCAGCGUCUUAUCUUUACUACCGGCGCGUGAGUACAACUCCUCUACACACGCCGGAUCGCAAACUAUGUCAUCGCCACCGUGCACAGCAAGAAACGGCACAUCCACUUCCUCAAACCUCCCCUGCAGCUCCCGACAAAUCCUCAACAACUCCUGCGCCGUCGCAGCACGUGGACGCGCCACUGUCCUCUUCGGACUCGCAAUUGCAAGCUUCCUCUUCCACUCCUCUUUAAAGGAAACAUCCGGAAUCGAUCCACGCGUGGGAACUACGCGCCACGUCGGAAUCACCGCAGCUGCGAGUGAGAGAAAAUGUUCCAAAGGCCACGGCGGUUUGAAUUUAUCACUAACUCCACACAUAGCACCGUUGAGGAUAAGUCCAUUCCACGGCAAUCCGCCUCGCCGGAGAGUUAUCAAAAGCGCGAUAGCUCCACCAAGAGACUCCGAAUACAGAAACGAAGGCAAAGAUGAAUCAAAUCGAGAUCGAAACGAUUCAAAGAACGAGAUACAAUCAUCAACAACGGGAUUGACAUCAGGAAUAUGAGCAAUUAAACCAUCAGAGAAACCAUGACCUUGAUGAUCAAUGGCGCAAGUGGCGAAUCCGGCUUUAGCAAAGUAGACGGCGGAGAGUUGGACAGUCCAGCUGGAUUCGCCGGUGUAGCCGUGGACGACGGCGAGGGUUCCGAUGAGUUUGGUUGGAGGAUUAGGGAUCCACCACUGAGUGAAGAGUUUAAGACCUCUUGAGUUGGUUAUGAACUCGGAGGCGUGAGUCACUGAGUGGCGAGUGUAGAAUUCUUCAGGAGUUAGGGUUCCGAAGGGGCUAUGAUCGUUGGCUUCUGCUAUUGGGUGCACCAUUUUGGAUAUUAACUCACUCAGUUAUGUGUGGAUAUAGUUAUAGUUUGAGUUUCGGCUAUAAUCAGCGUGUCCCAACUAGUUCUUCGACUUUUCUCCCCUUCAUUUACUUCUCUACUUGCUUUUCACUUACAUUUUUAUUUUUACUUUUUUAAUAUUUGGUUUUUACUUGAUAAAUAUUUUUCGCCUUUUUUUAUUAAGAAAUGAUAUUGUACAACCAUUUUC